RNAcentral lists this non-coding RNA (219 nucleotides) under Bacteroides pyogenes. The record is from RNAcentral. Lineage: Bacteria; Pseudomonadati; Bacteroidota; Bacteroidia; Bacteroidales; Bacteroidaceae.
UAUCUUUGCUGCCGAAUUGGUUCCGGGCAGAGUUCUUCCUCUAUCCGGAUGAAAAGGGAAUCGGGUGCAAAUCCCGGACAGUCCCGCUGCUGUGAAGCUCCGUUUAUAAAUUACGAUAAAUACUAUAAUAACCACUGGCUGCUUUGAGGAGACGAAGCGCCGGGAAGGUAUCGGAAAUGAGGAGUCAGUCAGAAGACCUGCCGUUCAUCAAAGGCUGUU